GAUGAACGCUGGCGGCGUGCCUAAUACAUGCAAGUCGAGCGAACAGACGAGGAGCUUGCUCCUCUGACGUUAGCGGCGGACGGGUGAGUAACACGUGGAUAACCCACCUAUAAGACUGGGAUAACUUCGGGAAACCGGAGCUAAUACCGGAUAACAUGUUGAACCGUAUGGUUCAACAGUGAAAGACGGUCUUGCUGUCGCUUAUAGAUGGAUCCGCGCCGCAUUAGCUAGUUGGUAAGGUAACGGCUUACCAAGGCAACGAUGCGUAGCCGACCUGAGAGGGGGAUCGGCCACACUGGAAGUGAGACACGGUCCAGACUCCUACGGGAGGCAGCAGUAGGGAAUCUUCCGCAAUGGGCGAAAGCCUGACGGAGCAACGCCGCGUGAGUGAAGAAGGUCUUCGGAUCGUAAAACUCUGUUAUUAGGGAAGAACAAAUGUGUAAGUAACUAUGCACGUCUUGACGGUACCUAAUCAGAAAGCCACGGCUAACUACGUG
RNAcentral lists this ribosomal RNA (497 nucleotides) under uncultured bacterium. RNAcentral describes it as "partial 16S ribosomal RNA". It matches the Rfam family "Bacterial small subunit ribosomal RNA", at positions 28 to 507 of the family's 1533-position model. The record is from RNAcentral.